CGGUGUGUGACUUAUCUGAUAUACAAGCAUGCAGCUUCGCCAAUGGAUGGAAAUAACGCAUUUGUUAUCUCAGCCUCAUGUGCGAACAGGAAGGAGUUCAAGGUGUAGUCCAACAUACCAGUGUUAAAAAUUAAAUCACUUUCUUUGGUCACAUUUGAGGAAGCUAUGCAAAACAAAUACUUUUCAAUGGAUCUUCCAUGGAGAGUUGGCAACAUGUAUGCACAUUUUGAAGCAUAACGCUAUGAAAUAUAAGUUUUCAUAUCAAAACUCAAGGCACUUGAUGACAUUAGAAUAUACCUUCCAUAUCUAGUGAAUAGAGACUUGGCUCACGACACCAUCUCAAAGGAUCCUCGGAAAAAGCGUUAAAUAUUGGCCAUAAUACUCGAGGAGGUUCAUCCAGCGAUCCCCACAGCUUGGUCUUUAGCUCUACUGCCUCUGGCCAACUCUUUAGUCAUGGCAGGGAAGUCAAGAAAUCCUGCAGUAUGUGGCUGAAAUUUGGAUGGCACUCCCGUACAGAAUAGUCACAGACCAACCGGUUGAUACAAGAACUAUAGCGGUUUGAUGAUGUGGGGGAGACAAGCAAAAACAGCCGACCAACGACUGUUGGAUGCAGUAGAUAAGGGGAACUUGAAAGAGGUUAAACACGCAAUCACCGCUGGUGGAGAUGUCAACCAGAAAGACAAACGUGGUAAGCUACUUGUGCAAAAAGCUACUGAAAACCUCAUUCGACCACUAAAAGUCCAAGACCAGGCUACAACUCAAGAUGCAAAGAAAGCAAUUGUAAUAGAAUUAGUAGAGCAUCAUGCCGAUGUUAAUGAACAGGGUGUAUAUCGUACAACUGCGUUAGGAUAUUUGCUAUUACGGUAUGAUUUAUAUUCAUUAUACAAUGAUAGGCAAAAACUGAUUCUGCUUGAUGUUGUCAGAGUGUUGUUGAAUAAUGGUGCUGAUGUCAACAUCAAGGAUAUUGGUGGUAAAUCUCCUUGGCACAGAGCAGCUAAGAUACCUUCCAUUGAACUUCUGAAGUUAUUUUUUGAGCACCAGUCUGAUGUGAAUGUCAGGGGUACAGGUGAUCAAACUGCACUUCAUAUUGCUGAUGACACAGACAUUGAUAGAUUAUUGAUCCAAA
Molecule: long non-coding RNA, 1126 nt
Organism: Lineus longissimus
Lineage: Eukaryota; Metazoa; Nemertea; Pilidiophora; Heteronemertea; Lineidae
Exons: 3
Source: RefSeq, a predicted model, not a curated record